AGAGUUUGAUCCUGGCUCAGGAUGAACGCUAGCGGCAGGCUUAACACAUGCAAGUCGAGGGGUAACGGGGAAGCUUGCUUCCGCCGACGACCGGCGCACGGGUGCGUAACGCGUAUACCAUCUACCUUAUACUGGGGUAUAGCCUUUAGAAAUGAAGAUUAACCCCCCAUAGUCUCUAAGAGUGGCAUCACAUUUAGAGUAAAGGUUACGGUAUAAGAUGAGUAUGCGUUCUAUUAGUUUGUUGGUGAGGUAACGGCUUACCAAGACUACGAUAGAUAGGGGCCCUGAGAGGGGGAUCCCCCACACUGGUACUGAGACACGGACCAGACUCCUACGGGAGGCAGCAGUGAGGAAUAUUGGACAAUGGAGGCAACUCUGAUCCAGCCAUGCCGCGUGUAGGAUGACUGCCCUAUGGGUUGUAAACUACUUUUAUACAGGAAGAAACACCUCUACGUGUAGAGGCUUGACGGUACUGUAAGAAUAAGGAUCGGCUAACUCCGUGCCAGCAGCCGCGGUAAUACGGAGGAUCCAAGCGUUAUCCGGAAUCAUUGGGUUUAAAGGGUCCGUAGGUGGAUAAUUAAGUCAGAGGUGAAAUCUUGCAGCUCAACUGUAAAAUUGCCUUUGAAACUGGUUAUCUUGAGUUAUUAUGAAGUAGUUAGAAUAUGUAGUGUAGCGGUGAAAUGCAUAGAUAUUACAUAGAAUACCAAUUGCGAAGGCAGAUUACUAAUAAUCAACUGACACUGAUGGACGAAAGCGUGGGUAGCGAACAGGAUUAGAUACUCUGGUAGUCCACGCCGUAAACGAUGGUUACUAGCUGUUUGGACUUCGGUCUGAGUGGCUAAGCGAAAGUGAUAAGUAACCCACCUGGGGAGUACGUUCGCAAGAAUGAAACUCAAAGGAAUUGACGGGGGCCCGCACAAGCGGUGGAGCAUGUGGUUUAAUUCGAUGAUACGCGAGGAACCUUACCAGGGCUUAAAUGUAAGUUGCAUUAGUUAGAGAUAGCUAUUUCUUCGGACCACUUACAAGGUGCUGCAUGGUUGUCGUCAGCUCGUGCCGUGAGGUGUCAGGUUAAGUCCUAUAACGAGCGCAACCCCUGUUGUUAGUUGCCAGCGAGUCAUGUCGGGAACUCUAACAAGACUGCCAGUGCAAACUGUGAGGAAGGUGGGGAUGACGUCAAAUCAUCACGGCCCUUACGUCCUGGGCUACACACGUGCUACAAUGGUAGGGACAGAGAGCAGCCACUGGGCGACCAGGAGCGAAUCUAUAAACCCUAUCACAGUUCGGAUCGGAGUCUGCAACUCGACUCCGUGAAGCUGGAAUCGCUAGUAAUCGGAUAUCAGCCAUGAUCCGGUGAAUACGUUCCCGGGCCUUGUACACACCGCCCGUCAAGCCAUGGAAGUUGGAAGUGCCUGAAGUCCGUCACCGCAAGGAGCGGCCUAGGGUAAAGUCGAUAACUAGGGUGAAGUCGUAACAAGGUA
This 1478-nucleotide ribosomal RNA is filed under the name uncultured bacterium. RNAcentral describes it as "bacterial SSU rRNA". It matches the Rfam family "Bacterial small subunit ribosomal RNA". The record is from RNAcentral.